RNAcentral lists this ribosomal RNA (253 nucleotides) under uncultured bacterium. RNAcentral describes it as "partial 16S ribosomal RNA". It matches the Rfam family "Bacterial small subunit ribosomal RNA", at positions 524 to 776 of the family's 1533-position model. The record is from RNAcentral.
UACGAAGGGGGCUAGCGUUGCUCGGAAUCACUGGGCGUAAAGCGCACGUAGGCGGAUCUUUAAGUCAGGGGUGAAAUCCCAAGGCUCAACCUUGGAACUGCCUUUGAUACUGGGGAUCUCGAGUCCGGAAGAGGUUGGUGGAACUGCGAGUGUAGAGGUGAAAUUCGUAGAUAUUCGCAAGAACACCAGUGGCGAAGGCGGCUCACUGGCUCGGUACUGACGCUCAGGCGCGAAAGCGUGGGGAGCAAACAGG